AAACGUUUUCUGCAUCUUGAGUUAAUCAAAAUCCUCUGGAAUGGGGUAUCAUGGAGGGUGACAAUCCCGUUCAUGGUUAAUUCUCAGGUGCUUUAUGAUACGUUUUCGAAGAGUCGAGUUGUUUGGGAUUGCAGCUCAAAAUGGGAGGUAAAUUUCUCCUAAAGCUAAAUAUUGGCGAGAGACCGAUAGCGAACAAGUACCGUGAGGGAAAGAUGAAAAGAACUUUGAAAAGAGAGUUAAACAGUACGUGAAAUUGUUGAAAGGGAAACGAUUGAAGUCAGUCGUACCAACGGGAAAUCAACCUUUCGAGCGGGGUUUUGGGGUUUCAAAGAGUUUCAAAGCCUUUGGGAUUUCAAAUUUCUUCUCUUCUGGUGUACUUUCUCGUAGGUAGGUCAACAUCGAUUUUGAGCAUCAUAAAAAGACUGGAGGAAUGUAGCUUCGAUCUCGUAUUGAAGUGUUAUAGACUUUGGUAAAUGUGAUGAUCAAGAUCGAGGAUUGCAACGAAUAUCCUUUUGGGCUAUUCGUCUGAUCUCUGAUCGUUGCCUUGGUAUCGAAAGCUUGC
RNAcentral lists this ribosomal RNA (562 nucleotides) under uncultured Glomus. RNAcentral describes it as "partial large subunit ribosomal RNA". It matches the Rfam family "Eukaryotic large subunit ribosomal RNA", at positions 156 to 637 of the family's 3401-position model. The record is from RNAcentral. Lineage: Eukaryota; Fungi; Glomeromycota; Glomeromycetes; Glomerales; Glomeraceae.